This 158-nucleotide ribosomal RNA is filed under the name Hypocreales sp. CanS-67. RNAcentral's name for it is "Verticillium sp. CanS-67 5.8S ribosomal RNA". It matches the Rfam family "5.8S ribosomal RNA". From Rfam's summary of the family: 5.8S ribosomal RNA (5.8S rRNA) is a component of the large subunit of the eukaryotic ribosome. The record is from RNAcentral. Lineage: Eukaryota; Fungi; Ascomycota; Sordariomycetes; Hypocreales.
AAACUUUCAACAACGGAUCUCUUGGUUCUGGCAUCGAUGAAGAACGCAGCAAAAUGCGAUAAGUAAUGUGAAUUGCAGAAUUCAGUGAAUCAUCGAAUCUUCGAACGCACAUUGCGCCCGCCAGCAUUCUGGCGGGCAUGCCUGUUCGAGCGUCAUUU